GGGCUUCGGCCCGAUGGCGAGUGGCGAACGGGUGAGUAAUGCAUCGGAACGUGCCCAGUCGUGGGGGAUAGCUCGGCGAAAGCCGGAUUAAUACCGCAUACGAUCCACGGAUGAAAGCGGGGGACCCUCGGGCCUCGCGCGACUGGAGCGGCUGAUGUCAGAUUAGGUAGUUGGUGGGGUAAAGGCUCACCAAGCCAACGAUCUGUAGCUGGUCUGAGAGGACGACCAGCCACACUGGGACUGAGACACGGCCCAGACUCCUACGGGAGGCAGCAGUGGGGAAUUUUGGACAAUGGGGGCAACCCUGAUCCAGCAAUACCGCGUGCAGGAAGAAGGCCUUCGGGUUGUAAACUGCUUUUGUACGGAACGAAACGGUAAGGGCUAAUACCUCUUGCUAAUGACGGUACCGUAAGAAUAAGCACCGGCUAACUACGUGCCAGCAGCCGCGGUAAUACGUAGGGUGCAAGCGUUAAUCGGAAUUACUGGGCGUAAAGCGUGCGCAGGCGGUUUUGUAAGACAGGCGUGAAAUCCCCGGGCUCAACCUGGGAAUGGCGCUUGUGACUGCAAGGCUCGAGUACGGCAGAGGGGGAUGGAAUUCCGCGUGUAGCAGUGAAAUGCGUANAUAUGCGGAGGAACACCGAUGGCGAAGGCAGUCCCCUGGGCCUGUACUGACGCUCAUGCACGAA
This 686-nucleotide ribosomal RNA is filed under the name Comamonadaceae bacterium LSUCC0254. RNAcentral describes it as "bacterial SSU rRNA". It matches the Rfam family "Bacterial small subunit ribosomal RNA", at positions 75 to 757 of the family's 1533-position model. Lineage: Bacteria; Pseudomonadati; Pseudomonadota; Betaproteobacteria; Burkholderiales; Comamonadaceae. The record is from RNAcentral.